Regulatory RNA element from Chromobacterium violaceum ATCC 12472, 120 nucleotides. It matches the Rfam family "Ribosomal S15 leader". Rfam says of the family: The E. coli Ribosomal S15 gene 5' UTR can form two alternative structures. The record is from Rfam. Lineage: Bacteria; Pseudomonadati; Pseudomonadota; Betaproteobacteria; Neisseriales; Chromobacteriaceae.
UGGGUUUUCCGGCUCGCCGCACUUGUCGGGUUUUCAAACCCCUAUUGAAACGGAGCAAUCCAAAUGGCAAUGACCGCCGCUCAAAAAGCAGAAAUCGUUAAAGGCUUCCAACGCGCUGAA